Molecule: ribosomal RNA, 271 nt
Filed under: uncultured bacterium
Lineage: Bacteria
Description: partial 16S ribosomal RNA
Rfam family: Bacterial small subunit ribosomal RNA
Source: RNAcentral
CUUAUGCCGGCGACCGGCGGACGGGUGCGUAACGCGUAUGUAACCUACCUUUGACAGGGGGAUAACAUCGAGAAAUUGGUACUAAUACCCCAUAACAUCACCGGAGGCAUCUUCGGUGGUUGAAAACUCAGGUGGUCAGAGAUGGACAUGCGUUGUAUUAGCUAGUUGGUGAGGUAACGGCUCACCAAGGCGACGAUACAUAGGGGGACUGAGAGGUCAACCCCCCACAUUGGUACUGAGACACGGACCAAACCCCUACGGGAGGCAGCAG